RNAcentral lists this long non-coding RNA (1096 nucleotides) under Heterocephalus glaber (naked mole-rat). RNAcentral describes it as "lncRNA (ENSHGLG00100043267.1)". The record is from RNAcentral. Lineage: Eukaryota; Metazoa; Chordata; Mammalia; Rodentia; Bathyergidae.
GGAAGGGCCAUCUAUGGAAUGGAGUAUUACUCAGCCAAGAAAAGAAAUGAGGCACUGAUACAUGCUACAUGGAUGCACCUCAAGACCAUGGUGCUGACAGUGACAGAAGCCAGGUAUAAAAGGCCACAUGGGAUCGAACUCGGGACCUUGUGCUUGUGAGGCACGUGGCAGAACCACUGAGCUACAUCCCGGCCCUGGUAAAUACAGCUUUAAAGAAAGUAUAAAAACUACCCAUUCAGGGGCCUUACAAAUGGUGAAUUCUUCUGGGUGAAUUUGGUGCAUGCCCCUAACCUCGGAUACUGGGGAAGCUGAGGCGGGAGGGUCUUAAGUUCAGGGCCAGCCUGGGGAACUAGCAAGAUCACGGGAAGUACUAGGAAACAAAUUUUUAAAAAAGAUGUGGAGCUGAAGAUACAGCUGGCUGGAGCAUCCUGCAGAGGCCCUUGGUUCAGAAGCACUGGAGGAAGAAGAGCCGAAGGCCGUAAUGAAGAGGAGAAUCGGCCUCGAUAGGACACCGGCCCUUUCAGUGGUGAUGCCCGUCAGGGUGGACCCUGGCCGCCUGGCUCCAAGGCCAUCCGAGGUUUCCACUUCCUCCUCCAUGACACCUGGGCUCUCCAGAGCCUCCACGCUGGACCUGGACCACCCCUGGGUGGCUUCACAGCUGGCCGGGCUGGCUCAGGGGAGCAGGUGGCAAGGCCCCUGCCUCUGGGAUCCCAUGCCAGAUGUGGGCCAGAUGGCGGCCAGGCUGUGGACAGGGCCCUCCAUGGAGUGGCCUGCAGCUCUACCAGCCCAUGGGUCCAUCCUCCUUGUACCAGGCAUGUGCAGUGAGGUCCCCACUCUGGCCCAGUCAUGGCAGCCACAGCAGUUUGGGCCGAGAGCCCUGGGGAGGGGAUCCCUGGCUUUGCUGCUGUGGCCCACAUCUCACCUGCAGCUGAUGCCCUCGAAGUUCAUCCCAGCGAGGGCCACACGGCCCCCCUUUCUCCUUUAUUUUUAUGGUACUAGGGAUGGAACCCAGGGCCUCAUAUAUGCUGGGCACAUGCUCUACCACUGCACUACAUUCCCAGCCCUUUUCAAUCUAUCUAUCUAUCUAUCUAUCUAU